UGCAGAUCGGAUGCUGGAUCUGUUGCCGUCAGCCACGGAGAGGGUGUGCGUGCAUGCGGCUCAAGGCUCCCCCACAACUUUGCAGUGAGUCUAAGAAUCAAGUGGGAGCCCCCCGUCCCCCCAAGCUGAUGGCACUCUGCUGGGGGCUUGUCUGGGCUCAGGACCUCCCCAGCUUGGGUUCAACCGCACGCUGAGCACCAGGCCAGGAGGCACGUCCCCAGGCCUGUGAUGUUGGCAACGGGGGUCCCGCCUGCUCUUAAUAAUAUGGAUCGUUACAGCGGUGAUGGCCAAGAACGUUCACGGAGUGUCUCGUCCAACCUAGUCGUUAUUAUUAAACCUCAUCUUCCCCCCUUACUGCCCAGACGAAGGAACCUGCCUUACCGGAAGGAAGUGUGGGGGGACAGCUGUGGGUGGCCGGCUGCUGCGGACACAAGUGUGAAAAAUGCGGAUUCGGACCCAGUAGACCCGGAGCUGCCUUUCUAACAAGCACCCGGCGCUGCUGCUGCCCUCUUUGGGGCCCUUGGGAGCCAGGGACUUGGAGUCAGACAGACCCAAGUUCACACGCUGUCCCUGUCAUGUAAGAGCCAUAUAUAGCUGCCAACCGGAGUGCCGUUCAGCAGGAAAAAAGGGGGUUUCUCAUGCUGGGUCCCCCAACAGUUGAACCCAAAGCAUGAGGUUUUCGCCAGCCGGGCAGCUCCCUAGGGGGACGGAUCCGCGGACGGACACUGAACGGAUGAGCCAGAAGACCCUGGAAGGCAGCCUGUUAUCCCCAAGGGUUCAGGACCCCUCGGAAACAAGGCAGCCAUUCCUAAGUACAACCUGCUCAUUUUAUAGAUGGGAAUUAAUUACUAAAUAAUUCAGGGGCAGAGGCAGGACUGAGGGGCAGGCUUUGUAGCUCCUGCCUUCCAAGGCAGGCCAGCUCCCAGCUCCCUCGGCCCUCCCUAUCUCUUGUGCUCUGCUGGGGGGAAUGGCUUCCCGGAGGGCUGGGCGCCCCUCCUCCCUGCGGGAGACGGAGCCCCGGAGCCCUGGGUGGAAGUCCGUCAGCAGGGCCCCGCUUGGACCCAGGAGGUGGCGGCCCCAUUAGGACAGCAGAAGCAGAACAGGGUUUUGUCCUCCCAAGAGGCUGUGUGUUGGCUGUUCGCAGCCAGGGCUCGGCUGGGUUCGGCUUGGCUGGCACAGUGAAGCCUUGUUUCCUUGAAUACAAAACCUGCCCCUUUCUGUCCUCGCCAGGGCCCCGGCGGGCGGCACUUCCUUCCCUAGAAGUCCAGCUCCCCGGCUCCUUCCUGCCCCCUACGCCACCCCUUCCAAGGCAGCAGCCGCUGUGGUGCCAAGAGGUGGCCCGCAGGGGUGUCCGAAGGGGUUCGGCUCCCCCCAAACUUCACCAGAGUAAACCCUGUCAAACCAACACCCCAAACAGCCUCCCUAGAAGGUGAAUGUUCCCGCAAAUGCAGCUUCCAGGCCAUUCCUCUGGUCACACGCCCCUUCUGAUCAAGCUGCGGCCCCCCAAGUCCCUACUCACUCGGGGUGCCUGCAUUCUCCCAAACAGCUCUAUCGUUUUUUGUUGUUGUUGUUGUUGUUGUUGUUUUGGCUGGGUGUAGCAAUGCCGCGGAAGCCCAGGAGAAGGAGGAUUCUGGCAGAAAGACACAGGCCACUGGCGGGUCUGUGAGGUGGGAAAUCAGCCGUGAACACAGAAGGGGGUGUUGAACGAGUGCGUCUUCCCACGUGGAAGCAAGUGUGACGGCUUUUGGAGUCACAGACCUGAGUUCAGAUCCCGGCUCCAUGGUUUCCUAGCUAUGUGGUCUUGGAGGGUUAAAUUUAACCUCUCUGUGCCCAGACCGCCUAACUGUACAAUGGUGAUGGUGAGAGUUCUCCGUCAUAGGGAUGUUGGGUGGAAUCCAGGAGCUCCUUAGCACCUAGAUAUCAUCAGUGCCUGGACUCUAUCAAUCACUGAUGCAUUUGAACAAUCUCCCCGGCAUUGCCUCCCCCACUCCAGGGUGUGGGGUGGGGGGAGGGCAGACUCUACAAGGAAGUUCCAGAUGGUGAAGCUGUCUCUACCUAGCCCUGGGCUCAAGAAGCUUUCCAUUUCCCAUCAGUCUGGGCUGGAAUCCUAGAAAUCCUGCUCUCCCAAGGGUGACAGUCUUUGGUGGGGAAAGAAACUUUACAACUCCCAACAAAGACCCUGGAGCCAAAGAGGCAGGCUCCUCAGGGCCUAGGGAAUUCCACACAGUGACGCAGAGGAGGGUUAAGGACUCAGUUUCCCCCCAGGCUGACCCUUGGAAAAGUAUGGGGCUCCCAGCCGUCCAGGUCUGGGAAACAAAACCUUCUUCCCCUGUGUGGCGGCCGCAGGCAGAAGCAGCAGUGACAAGAAGUGGGGAAAAGCCUUUCUCAAGCUGUGGGGUUGCAAAACACCCCCUUCCUGGGCUUCCUGAUUGUUGCUUGGGUACACAGCCCCAUCCCGCCCUGUCCUCGUGCCUCAGCCAAGGUGGGUCAGCACCUCUCCACUCAGACCACACCCCUGGGCUGUUCCCCCUUCAGGGGCCAGGGGCAAGGGCAUGGGCAACAAGAGGUGGGGAGGGGUACCACAGGGAAGGGGGCUGUGAGCUUUAACACCCCAUCCCCCAGCCUGUCCCCUGCACAACCGUGGUUGUGAAGAGUUUGGUUGUCCAUCGCAGUCACAACUUAGUGGACUCAGGGAUGGACCCGAAGGGGACCAUU
Molecule: long non-coding RNA, 2715 nt
Organism: Mustela lutreola (European mink)
Lineage: Eukaryota; Metazoa; Chordata; Mammalia; Carnivora; Mustelidae
Exons: 3
Source: RefSeq, a predicted model, not a curated record